RNAcentral lists this ribosomal RNA (872 nucleotides) under uncultured bacterium. Its description in RNAcentral is "bacterial SSU rRNA". It matches the Rfam family "Bacterial small subunit ribosomal RNA", at positions 28 to 897 of the family's 1533-position model. The record is from RNAcentral.
GAUGAACGCUGGCGGCGUGCUUAACACAUGCAAGUCGAGCGGAGAUAUUUAAACGGAAGGUUUCGGCUGGAAGGUUAAAUAUCUUAGCGGCGGACGGGUGAGUAACGUGUGGGCAACCUGCCCUGUACUGUGGAAUAAUCACUGGAAACGGUGACUAAUACCGCAUGUCAUCACAAGGGGGCAUCCCCUUGUGAGAAAAGGAUUUAUUCGGUACAGGAUGGGCCCGCAUCUGAUUAGCUAGUUGGUGAGAUAACAGCCCACCAAGGCAACGAUCAGUAGCCGACCUGAGAGGGUGAUCGGCCACAUUGGGACUGAGACACGGCCCAAACUCCUACGGGAGGCAGCAGUGGGGAAUAUUGCACAAUGGGCGAAAGCCUGAUGCAGCGACGCCGCGUGAAGGAUGAAGGGUUUCGGCUCGUAAACUUCUAUCAAUAGGGACGAAAAAAAUGACGGUACCUAAAUAAGAAGCCCCGGCUAACUACGUGCCAGCAGCCGCGGUAAUACGUAGGGGGCAAGCGUUAUCCGGAAUUACUGGGUGUAAAGGGAGAGUAGGCGGCAUGGUAAGUUAGAUGUGAAAGCCCGGGGCUUAACCUCGGGAUUGCAUUUAAAACUAUCAAGCUAGAGUACAGGAGAGGUAAGUGGAAUUCCUAGUGUAGCGGUGAAAUGCGUAGAUAUUAGGAAGAACACCAGUGGCGAAGGCGACUUACUGGACUGAAACUGACGCUGAGGCUCGAAAGCGUGGGGAGCGAACAGGAUUAGAUACCCUGGUAGUCCACGCCGUAAACGAUGAGUGCUAGGUGUCGGGGGGGAACCCUCGGUGCCGCAGCUAACGCAAUAAGCACUCCACCUGGGGAGUACGAUCGCAAGAUUGA